Molecule: non-coding RNA, 420 nt
Filed under: Naegleria gruberi
Lineage: Eukaryota; Heterolobosea; Eutetramitea; Acrasida; Naegleriidae
Description: Eukaryotic small subunit ribosomal RNA
Rfam family: Eukaryotic small subunit ribosomal RNA
Source: Rfam by way of RNAcentral
UACCUGGUUGAUCCUGCCAGUACUAUAUGCUUGUCUCAAAGCCUAAGCCAUGCAAAUGUAAGAUCAAUCAUAUGCGGUUUCGGCCGUGUAUAAUGAUAGUCUGUGGAAGGCUCAUUAUAACAGUUAUACUCCUAGCCACUGGAAAGUUUACAAGGAUACCACCGUUAACUGCAGCGAUAAUACUUGUUCCCUUCGGGGUGGUAAUAGUAUUUGUGCUGAAGCCUAGCUAUUGUAACCUAGUUUUUCGGGUGUGGCAACAUAUUCGGGGGAUUAGGAAUCGACCGCUAGCAGGUGCCUUCGGGCGCGGGAAAGUGAAUUAACAAGGUUUUCAUAAGGCCUUUCAGGUUUGCUUUUUCUAGUGGCCAGGCAGAGGAGUUUCUUACCUAUCAGCUCGUUGUUUGUUUAAAGGACAAACCAGGC